UUGCCUGGACGACGGCGAGGGUGCGCCAUCAAACCUGCCAGGUUCACCAGGCUCAAGCGCAUGUUCAUUCGACGAUGGAUAUAUAAUGGGUCACAUUUUGAAGAACCUCAGUGACACGCGAAAGUAUAAAUUCUCCAACUGCUGCGUAUCUAUAAUCAAGUUUGCCCUUGGGACGACCGCCUCGCACAAUGCAUUCUAAGAUGUAGGACGCCUAUUGUGAAUGGGAGAUCUUCGUUAAAAGAAACACCAGCCCCGGAUGGCACCAGGUGCGGAACGUCAAAGAUCUGCAAACAUGGAAUAUGUGUUGCGCCAUGAGAAGGUGUGAAGAGGAUGCCAUCAAAAUAAAUCACUUACAGUUAAAA
RNAcentral lists this unclassified non-coding RNA (362 nucleotides) under Ixodes scapularis (black-legged tick). RNAcentral describes it as "uncharacterized LOC120846740, transcript variant X1". Lineage: Eukaryota; Metazoa; Arthropoda; Arachnida; Ixodida; Ixodidae. The record is from RNAcentral.